GUGUUUGCCUCAGCAGCACAUGUACUAGAAUUGGAACAAUACAGAGAAGAUUAGCAUCGCCCCUGCGUAAGGAUGACUUGCCGAUUUGUGAAGCAUUCCGUAUUUUU
Erinaceus europaeus (western European hedgehog) is the source of this 107-nucleotide small nuclear RNA. The record is from Ensembl. Lineage: Eukaryota; Metazoa; Chordata; Mammalia; Eulipotyphla; Erinaceidae.